GAUGAACGCUGGCGGCGUGCUUAACACAUGCAAGUCGAGCGAAGCACCUUGGAAAGAUUCUUCGGAUGAUUUCCUUUGUGACUGAGCGGCGGACGGGUGAGUAACGCGUGGGUAACCUGCCUCAUACAGGGGGAUAACAGUUAGAAAUGACUGCUAAUACCGCAUAAGACCACGGUACCGCAUGGUACAGUGGUAAAAACUCCGGUGGUAUGAGAUGGACCCGCGUCUGAUUAGGUAGUUGGUGGGGUAACGGCCUACCAAGCCGACGAUCAGUAGCCGACCUGAGAGGGUGACCGGCCACAUUGGGACUGAGACACGGCCCAGACUCCUACGGGAGGCAGCAGUGGGGAAUAUUGCACAAUGGAGGAAACUCUGAUGCAGCGACGCCGCGUGAAGGAUGAAGUAUUUCGGUAUGUAAACUUCUAUCAGCAGGGAAGAAAAUGACGGUACCUGACUAAGAAGCCCCGGCUAACUACGUG
This 479-nucleotide ribosomal RNA is filed under the name uncultured bacterium. RNAcentral describes it as "partial 16S ribosomal RNA". It matches the Rfam family "Bacterial small subunit ribosomal RNA", at positions 28 to 507 of the family's 1533-position model. The record is from RNAcentral.